GGGAAUAUAUAAGUAAACAAAGUGAUUGAGCCAAUGACGGUUAAUUGGCAUUCAGCGUAGAGUAUACUAUACUUAAUGGAAUACACAAUAAUACUAUGUUACUGACAUGUGGAUCCAAGAUACGGCUUGUUGUUGGCUUAUUGCAACUGUACCAUAGGUUAUGCAAGGGACUAAGAUACAACUAUACAAGGAGCAUGAGAAAGGCAGUAUAUAAUAAGCGGGGCAGGAGUGCAAACCGGAAUGCUUUGCGGUGAGGGGAGAAUCAUGCAGGCUUGCUGAUGGUGUCCCCCACAGGCUGCCUGUGUCACUGAUGUCUCUCAUAAUGCAGUCUCAAUUAGUCUUUGUGCACAAGUUACCUUCUGAGAUCCACACCCACAUGCAGAUGCCUGUAGCUUUAUGCAAAGAAUGAUUCAAUAGCAGGCUCUGUCACCUUGCUUUAAACUAUGCUACUGUAAACAGCAGAUUUUCUACUAAUUGGCUUUACAGAACACUAACUGUGCCCUGUAGCUACUUUGCGCGGAGAGGUGGCAAGUGCAGAACUGCAGAUUUGUUUGGGCACUUUGUUAGGUGACUGAUAGUGUUUGCCCAAAUUUGGAAGACCCAGUCAAUUCUUUCAGAAAAUGUGAGUCAUUGAGGAAAUUGGUAGCACCCACAUUCUUUUUCACAGGGAAUUCGAAUCAAAGGUAUGGAGCAAGAUCUGAAAAGUUUGCACUUUAAUUUAAGAUGUGCUACUAUGUUUGCGCACAAAUGAACUUGCAUUUGUUUUCUUUUCCCUAUAAGACAGCAAGUAAAAUUAACAAAUAGAAAAGGAUAUAUAUGGUCCUCUUCUUGUAAAUAAAAAAGGUUUGAUUUGCUUUCUGAGCACAGCACGGCAUUCUUACCACUUGGAAUAUCAAGUGUCUGGAUGGCCAAAAAGACAGUUAUCCUCGAACGUCAGUCGUAGUCGUGAGAAAUUUUUAACCGAGUUGUACGCCAUACGGGGUUCCAAGUUUAACCUCGCAAGUUGCACGUCGGUAGCAAGGAAAGCAGAACCCCUUUUUUAACUUCGCACGCUCUGAGAAGGCAUCUCGAAUGUUA
This 1077-nucleotide long non-coding RNA is filed under the name Setaria italica (foxtail millet). RNAcentral describes it as "long non-coding RNA (SITA_LNC004069)". Lineage: Eukaryota; Viridiplantae; Streptophyta; Magnoliopsida; Poales; Poaceae. The record is from RNAcentral.